RNAcentral lists this ribosomal RNA (492 nucleotides) under uncultured bacterium. Its description in RNAcentral is "partial 16S ribosomal RNA". It matches the Rfam family "Bacterial small subunit ribosomal RNA", at positions 28 to 507 of the family's 1533-position model. The record is from RNAcentral.
GAUGAACGCUAGCUACAGGCUUAACACAUGCAAGUCGAGGGGAAACGGCAUUGAGUGCUUGCACUCUUUGGACGUCGACCGGCGCACGGGUGAGUAACGCGUAUCCAACCUUCCCAUUACUGUGGGAUAACCUGCCGAAAGGCAGACUAAUACCGCAUAGUCUUCGAUGACGGCAUCAGAUUUGAAGUAAAGAUUUAUCGGUAAUGGAUGGGGAUGCGUCUGAUUAGCUUGUUGGCGGGGUAACGGCCCACCAAGGCGACGAUCAGUAGGGGAUCUGAGGGUCAGGCACACCACAUUUGAACCACGGUCCGGACCCCUAUGCUACGGAAGACAGCAGUAUGUAAUACUGGUCAAUGGACCGUGGUCUGAACAAGCCAAGUAGCGUGCAGAAUGACUGCGCUAUGAGUUGUAAUCUGCUUUUGAAUGAGGAUAAAGUUAGGGACGUGUCCCUAUUUGACGGUACCAUACGAAUAAGCACCGGCUAACUCCGUG